Molecule: non-coding RNA, 75 nt
Organism: Podarcis lilfordi (Lilford's wall lizard)
Lineage: Eukaryota; Metazoa; Chordata; Lepidosauria; Squamata; Lacertidae
Source: the annotation of a GenBank genome assembly
GGAAGAACCAUAGCUCAGUGGCGGGGCAUCUGCUUUGCGUACAGAAGGUCCCAGGUUCAAUCCCCAGCAUCUCCA